Long non-coding RNA from Hipposideros armiger (great roundleaf bat), 391 nucleotides. RefSeq lists it as uncharacterized. The transcript has 3 exons. NCBI's taxonomy places the organism in Eukaryota, Metazoa, Chordata, Mammalia, Chiroptera, Hipposideridae. The record is from RefSeq and is a predicted model, not a curated record.
CCUGGAUCGAGGAAACCCACCUGCAAAGACCAAGAUGCAAAGAGCUUGGCCCCAUGUGAGGUAUUGGGGUGCAGAGUUAAAUAAGACACAGGCCAGCCCACACGGAGCCUGCAGUCUGAGUGGAGGAGACCCCCAUGGACCUGAGUGCACCCCAGGAAUGGUUUCUGGCACCUCGUGCAAGAAGCUCCCGUUGACGAUCUCACUGCCCAGUUACUCUGAGAUCAUCCCGAAUCCCGAUGUCCAGCCAUCUUCUUCUGGCACAUUUUCACACACCUUUUGUUAACAGACUCCAGGAUUAAUACUGCGGUUUGCUGUGAUAUUCAAAUGUGGUCAUCUGUAAAAAAUGCGUAAUCCCCCAUGCCUCCAUGGAUGUUAGUUCUUGUCCUUUCCC